AACGAACGCUGGCGGCAUGCCUAACACAUGCAAGUCGAACGAGACCUUCGGGUCUAGUGGCGCAUGGGUGCGUAACGCGUGGGAACCUGCCCUUAGGUUCGGAAUAACUCCCCGAAAGGGGUGCUAAUACCGGAUAAUGUCUUCGGACCAAAGAUUUAUCGCCUUUGGAUGGGCCCGCGUUGGAUUAGCUAGUUGGUAGGGUAAAGGCCUACCAAGGCGACGAUCCAUAGCUGGUCUGAGAGGAUGAUCAGCCACACUGGGACUGAGACACGGCCCAGACUCCUACGAGAGGCAGCAGUAGGGAAUAUUGGACAAUGGGCGAAAGCCUGAUCCAGCAAUGCCGCGUGAGUGAUGAAGGCCUUAGGGUUAUAAAGCUCUUUUACCCGUGAUGAUAAUGACAGUACCGGGAGAAUAAGCGCCGGCUAACUCCGUG
This 433-nucleotide ribosomal RNA is filed under the name uncultured bacterium. Its description in RNAcentral is "partial 16S ribosomal RNA". It matches the Rfam family "Bacterial small subunit ribosomal RNA", at positions 29 to 507 of the family's 1533-position model. The record is from RNAcentral.